CGCCAGACUCCUACGGGAGGCAGCAGUGGGGGAUAUUGCACAAUGGGGGAAACCCUGAUGCAGCGACGCCGCGUGGGCGAAGAAGUAUUUCGGUAUGUAAAGCCCUAUCAGCAGGGAAGAAGAAAUGACGGUACCUGAGUAAGAAGCACCGGCUAAAUACGUGCCAGCAGCCGCGGUAAUACGUAUGGUGCAAGCGUUAUCCGGAUUUACUGGGUGUAAAGGGAGCGCAGGCGGCACGGCAAGCCUGAUGUGAAAGCCCGCGGCCCAACCGCGGGACUGCAUUGGGAACUACCGGGCUGGAGUGCCGGAGAGGUAGGCGGAAUUCCUGGUGUAGCGGUGAAAUGCGUAGAUAUCAGGAGGAACACCGGUGGCGAAGGCGGCCUGCUGGACUGCAACUGACGUUGAGGCCCGAAAGCGUGGGGAGCAAACAGGAUUAGAUACCCUGGUA
Molecule: ribosomal RNA, 448 nt
Filed under: uncultured bacterium
Lineage: Bacteria
Description: bacterial SSU rRNA
Rfam family: Bacterial small subunit ribosomal RNA
Source: RNAcentral